RNAcentral lists this long non-coding RNA (823 nucleotides) under Ananas comosus (pineapple). RNAcentral describes it as "long non-coding RNA (ACOM_LNC015461)". Lineage: Eukaryota; Viridiplantae; Streptophyta; Magnoliopsida; Poales; Bromeliaceae. The record is from RNAcentral.
UGUUGUCGAUUGAACAAUACGACAUAAUACGUGGAGUUGAGCUAUGAUACUUUUAUAAGUAUCACCAUCAUGGUGCUAUUAGGUUUUAAGCCAUUGGAUCUACUUUUUGAUUAUUAAUAGCCCUUGGAUUAAACACUAUUCCACCUACCACCACCUACCACCACCUACCACCAUCAUCUCAACCUCACAUCUCUCCAUCCAAGGGCUAAAAACACACAAGUAUCACCCCCAUGAUACUUUUACAAGUAUUCUAGCCCUACUCUAAUACGUGAUUAUUUCUCUUUUUGAUAAUCUGCUUUUAUUCCACUAAUGAUAUAACAAAACUAUUCUAUAUAUUAAUCAUAUAUCCUUUAGGAUUUCUUACAAUGAGAUAAUAUAGGAAACUGUUUUGUUAUGACUUUUGACUUGAAAUAAUCUCUAAUAUGUGUAAUAUUUUUAUUUCUACAAAUAUUAUUUUUAUUGUCACUUAAUAAUAACUGAUGUAUGUUUAUGUUUAUUGUAAAUCUAUUCGUAUGCUACGAAGCCCGGAUUCUUAACUAGUAUAUAUGUGUGUGUGUAUGGAGAGAGAGAGAGAGAGAGAGAGAGAGAGAGAGAGAGUGAGUCCGGCUACUAUAUUAUUGAUAAUACCAAGCUUUUAAUACUAUAUAUCGAGUUUUCUACUAUUAUAUCUGCUCUUUGAUCAUUUCCACCUAUUAGAUUAUAAUAUUCAACUAAUCACCCCCUCAACCCUAAGGUAUCACUAUCAUCCUAACCACACAUUCUUUCAUUCAAUGGCCGAAAACUCAACAAUAUCAAGUAUUUUGUACUAUCAAUAGUAUAGUAG